AGACGUUAUCGGAUACUGGGCGUAAGCGUGUGUAGGCGGUUCGGAAAGAAAGAUGUGAAAUCCCAGGGCUCAACCUUGGAACUGCAUUUUUAACUGCCGAGCUAGAGUAUGUCAGAGGGGGGUAGAAUUCCACGUGUAGCAGUGAAAUGCGUAGAUAUGUGGAGGAAUACCGAUGGCGAAGGCAGCCCCCUGGGAUAAUACUGACGCUCAGACACGAAAGCGUGGGGAGCAAACAGGAUUAGAUACCCUGGUAGUCCACGCCCUAAACGAUGUCAACUAGCUGUUGGGGCCGUUAGGCCUUAGUAGCGCAGCUAACGCGUGAAGUUGACCGCCUGGGGAGUACGGUCGCAAGAUUAAAACUCAAAUGAAUUGACGG
This 376-nucleotide ribosomal RNA is filed under the name Alcaligenes faecalis. Its description in RNAcentral is "bacterial SSU rRNA". It matches the Rfam family "Bacterial small subunit ribosomal RNA", at positions 536 to 916 of the family's 1533-position model. The record is from RNAcentral. Lineage: Bacteria; Pseudomonadati; Pseudomonadota; Betaproteobacteria; Burkholderiales; Alcaligenaceae.